Molecule: ribosomal RNA, 460 nt
Filed under: uncultured bacterium
Lineage: Bacteria
Description: partial 16S ribosomal RNA
Rfam family: Bacterial small subunit ribosomal RNA
Source: RNAcentral
CCUACGGGAGGCAGCAGUGAGGAAUAUUGGUCAAUGGGCGCGAGCCUGAACCAGCCAAGUAGCGUGAAGGAUGACUGCCCUACGGGUUGUAAACUUCUUUUAUAAAGGAAUAAAGUGAGGCACGUGUGCCUUUUUGUAUGUACUUUAUGAAUAAGGAUCGGCUAACUCCGUGCCAGCAGCCGCGGUAAUACGGAGGAUCCGAGCGUUAUCCGGAUUUAUUGGGUUUAAAGGGUGCGUAGGUGGUUAAUUAAGUCAGCGGUGAAAGUUUGUGGCUCAACCAUAAAAUUGCCGUUGAAACUGGUUGACUUGAGUAUAUUUGAGGUAGGCGGAAUGCGUGGUGUAGCGGUGAAAUGCAUAGAUAUCACGCAGAACUCCGAUUGCGAAGGCAGCUUACUAAACUAUAACUGACACUGAAGCACGAAAGCGUGGGGAUCAAACAGGAUUAGAUACCCGGGUAGUC